This 810-nucleotide long non-coding RNA is filed under the name Felis catus (domestic cat). RNAcentral's name for it is "lncRNA (ENSFCAG00000048936.1)". Lineage: Eukaryota; Metazoa; Chordata; Mammalia; Carnivora; Felidae. The record is from RNAcentral.
UUGCAGUGCUAAAAACUGUUAGUUUCACUUUCCAGUGUCCAUGACGUUGUGGAAAUUCUAGUACUAAUUCCCUGAUUCUGAAUCCCAAAUUUCAAGUAAAGUGUGCAUACUUAGCUGCAGUAGUCAUAGCAAUGACCUUGUGGUCUAUGUUCACAAUUGUGGCAUAAAUAAUAACUCUUUUUUAAUGUUUUUUUAAAUUUUUUUUUAGAGACAGCAUGUGCGAGUAGGGAAGGACAGAGAGAGAGGGAGUCACAGAAUUCGAAGCAGGCUCCAGGCUCUGAGCUGUCAACACAGAGCCCCAGGCGGGGCUGGAACUCACAAAUGGUGAGAUCAUGACCUGAGCUGAAGUCGGAGGCUUAAAUGACUGAGCCACCCAGGCAUCCCAAAAAAUUCUUAACAGAGACUAGAGAAUUGGUCAAAUUGGAACAAGAAAGUGUAGACAUUACCCAUAGGAAACAGCUCCACUCCAGGUGUAACAACUCUGAGAAGCAUUGGCAAUAUUGGAGUUUUCACAACUCAUAAGGAAACUGAGGGGAGGAAUACCACAGAAGGAACUUUAUCUGUGGGGACACUUUGAAGUCCAGGUUGAACCUUGGGUAUUUCAGAAAGUAUUUGCUUAUGCUUUGUUUCAAUCACCUGCAAGCACUAUAAUAAAUUUAAAACAAAUUUUGCAGUUUGGUGUCUUUGAAACACUCAUUCACAUAUGGGAUAACUUCAUUAAUUUUCUAACAUGACUCAAACUUUUAUGUUUUUCUUAGGUAUUUACUAAUAUACUAUUUAUUAAAAUGUGCAUUUUCUGCAUGAACAGCU